This 69-nucleotide transfer RNA is filed under the name Urocitellus parryii (Arctic ground squirrel). RNAcentral describes it as "Spermophilus parryii (Arctic ground squirrel) tRNA". It matches the Rfam family "tRNA". From Rfam's summary of the family: Transfer RNA (tRNA) molecules are approximately 80 nucleotides in length. The record is from Rfam by way of RNAcentral. RNAcentral also lists the same sequence under 1 other name. Lineage: Eukaryota; Metazoa; Chordata; Mammalia; Rodentia; Sciuridae.
GGGGUUGUGACUCAGUGGUAAAGUGCUUGCCUAGCAUGCAUGAAGCACUGGGUUCCAACCCCAGCACCA